This is a long non-coding RNA of Pogonomyrmex barbatus (red harvester ant), 488 nucleotides long. NCBI's taxonomy places the organism in Eukaryota, Metazoa, Arthropoda, Insecta, Hymenoptera, Formicidae. The record is from RefSeq and is a predicted model, not a curated record.
GUCGCGCGCGCGCGAGUCAGUUACUGAGGUAGUGGCGACGAUACAUCACAUCACAGAGCAACCAGCAGCAACAGCAGCAGCAACAGCACUCGAUCAGCACUCACUUGUCGGCCGACAGCUCGUGACAGCUCGCGGUGUGGGUAUCUCGGCGCACGGCUCCCAACGGACCGAUGCGACUACCUGUACGAUUCUCGAACGGUCACCUGGGGGAGGAAACCAGGAACGCGGCGCCGGCAGCGUGUACUAAUUAGCGCGACAGUUAAUUGCCGAAGAGCACGAGCCGCCAAGAGCAAUUGACCGCAUGCGUGCGCGUCCCGCGUCGACGUGACCAGCUGCAGCCUGUUGCAAGCGGCGGAUUAUGACUGGAACCUGCUAAGUGCUAGUUCAAAUCGCCUCGGAGAAAGACAGUUUUAAUGUGGCUUCCGGAUGUUGUGGUAUUUUUUUACAAGUGGUACAUUUAUCAAAUUAAAGAUAGAGUGAUUCAGCGC